Molecule: non-coding RNA, 30 nt
Filed under: Homo sapiens (human)
Lineage: Eukaryota; Metazoa; Chordata; Mammalia; Primates; Hominidae
Source: RNAcentral
UAACAUCUGGGCUGUGAUGGUUUCUGAGGU